GCACCAUUUUGUCUUCUUUUUGACUCCAACAUUUUCAUAUUUUCUUUUGGGGAACUCCUAGAGUCCUUCUUUGCCGGAAAAGUAAGAAUUCCAUAUGAUACUUACCUUCAUUUUCUGUGAAGCCUGUAUGUUUUACCUUCAGAGAACCAACACACUGGAUGCAAGAAAUUUGCCAUGUUUGUGUGAAUCUCUUUGAGAAAAGUUAAAAUAUAAAAUAAUUAACUAAAAUGGGUUCGUAGGAGAAAAUAUAAGGCAGCUGAUUGAUAACUAACCAACAGCAUAAGUCAAAAAAAAAAAAAAUCUUAGAUUCAUAUAGGAGAACAGGAGGAUAAGAAAGGCUUCAGUACAUUCGAUCUAGAAGCACAUAAUCUGAGUAUGUGUAACUUGACUUUAAGCAUCAUGCAAAAUAGGAAAUGGCCCUCCUAUAAUUAUUUAUUUUAUUAGUCAAACGAAGUUACAGGUUAACAAAGGCUUAAAAAAUUAAUGCUUGUAUACAUAUCUGAAUUAUCUUCAAAAGCUGGAAAAUGCAAUUUUAGAAGUGGCUUAAGUUGUAUUUAGAGUACUUUAGAGUCAAGGACCUUUUUAUUAGUUGAUUGUGAAUAAUAUCUGUUUAAAAAAGCAUUGUGUAGUCUAAAUUUUAGAUUCAGUAAUAUUAAAAACGAAUUGAAUUUCUAUAAUGGAAAAAGUAGCAAAUCACGAAUGAAAGAGUAACAAAACGCGACUCAGUUACCAUUGAGGAAAAGUGGUAAUUCCCUGACCGGGAAUCGAACCCGGGCCGCGGCGGUGAGAGCGCCGAAUCCUAACCACUAGACCACCAGGGAACCUGUUUGGACUGCUCCUCAGAGUGCAUUUGCUUCUGUAGAAAUCGUCACCUAGGCGUGACCAGUGAAAAGCAAGACUGCCUGUAAGCCCUGCCCACCUCGUUCUUAUUUUAGGUUUCAGUCUCCUAAACUCCAUCAAAUUCGCGCUGCGCACUCGGCGAGCUCGGCAGCGGCUCCCAAGAAAAAAAAGCCAGAUCUUCCAAACAGAAUCUUCUUCCGACUGCCAUGCUGGAAAAGGCAUCCUUAGAUUUCGUCCCAACUGUGUUAAAUACUGCCGCCGGCGGAGAGCGUUUCCGGUUGUAGAGCUGGGUGCGACACUGCACACGUCCCUGGCACAGAGCACUGUAAAUGCGAGUGAGGAAGGGCCUCUUGGCCUCGUAGGACGCGGCUGUUUCUAUUUACUUGUGUGAGAGUAAGAUUAAAGAAGCUGAGAUAGCUGUGGGUGAUUUGCUUAGUGAAGAACUGGGGCCUCUGCACCCUGAUCCAAGAAAACCCUGAAAACCCACUGUUUCCAUUAUCUUCCUGUUUUUUCAAACGGUGUUAUUAUCUCGGCAAUUGCUUCCCCUCUCCGCGUCGUGAGCGAGACACGACCAGGAAAUGAUGCAAUUACCAAAGAAGUCAAGAAACCUUCUAGCCCGCCAUCAGUUCAGAAACUCGCAUGAAAUAGGAGCAGACGGCAAGAGAAUGUAACUUUGAAAGUGCCAACCGUUGCAGUUGGAUAAAUGUAACCCAAGAGAUCCCGCUCCGCUGCAAGAUGAAAGGAGGCUUAAGUAAAAUAGACAUAAAUUUGUAAUGAACUUGCUCGCAAUAUCCGGCGCCACUGUGAAUUACAGCCUUUGUCCAGCACCAUAGAAUAUAGGUGAGGCUGAACUGGAUUAUUUUUUCUGGUUUUCAGCAAUUGGGAAGUGAUAUUUAGCUUAUUGAUUAAAAUUUAUCUGAAAUUAUUUAAUAAUAUGCAAGCAGGAAGAUUAGAAUGACUUAUUAAGACUAAUAAGUAAAGAUGGAACCAUCACCAGAAGAAAUUUCUAAACUUAAUUACUGUAUUUUAGAUGGGACACACACCUCUUUCCUAUAUCAAGGAAUUUUUAGGAACUUGAGUGCAGUAGGUGGAGCUCUUACCUCUUAACUGGGGAUUACCAGCACUUGCUUAGCAUAAGAAUACCUAGUUUUGAAUUAAAAAAAAUAAAGCAGAUAUUACUUUCA
RNAcentral lists this transfer RNA (2024 nucleotides) under Sus scrofa (pig). RNAcentral's name for it is "lncRNA (ENSSSCG00060025537.1)". The record is from RNAcentral. Lineage: Eukaryota; Metazoa; Chordata; Mammalia; Artiodactyla; Suidae.